This is a long non-coding RNA of Pantherophis guttatus, 384 nucleotides long. RefSeq lists it as uncharacterized. The record is from RefSeq and is a predicted model, not a curated record. NCBI's taxonomy places the organism in Eukaryota, Metazoa, Chordata, Lepidosauria, Squamata, Colubridae.
GAAAGUUUUUCAUAGCCAUAUUAUGUUAACUCCUCUUUUGAAUUGCUACAUUAUUCCUUCUGUGUGAAACUUACAUCAUUACAACUGGAUAUUUUCUCUGAAAGAAAACGCUACAUCAGCUGCCUAGCUUUUGGAGACUUUGGCUCCUCUGUCAACGUUAUCCUUCUGAGGACACAACAUGUUCUUCUGGAUUGGAAACAACUAGCUGGCAGAAGUUUAACUUGUGGAAUGUGGCAAUGAAAAUUGCAGUAACCUCUCUAUAUAACUUACGGUGCUGUAAAUGCACAGCAGCUGUUAAUAUGAUUCUGUCGAUACAUUUACCAUGGUGAUUUGGCAGUAUUUGGCGACUGUGAAGAAAUCACUCAUGGGCUGGAAAGGAAGAAC